CAACACAGAGCAAAACUCACCGCCGCAGUGUGACUUCCAGUCCACGCGAUCCGCUUCCUGGUCCGGGCGAAUCUACAAGCACAGGACAGAAGCCAGGCCUCCGUGGAGCCAACGAGUACCUGUUUUAAGAAAAAAAACAACAAGGAAGUAAAACCGAAGACAGGCAGCCCUGCGCCACGCCCAAAACCAGGCCUGGGCCUGCCUGGCCUAAACCCAAUAGUUAAAAAUCAACUCAUAACUUAGAAACCAAUGUUUUUCAUAGAUUCCAGACAUUGUAUAGAAGAACAUUAUGAAACUCCCUGCCCUGUUCUGUUUCUCUCUACCAGUGCACGAAACCCCUGUGUAUAUAUCUGGGACUGUAGUCCCUGUUACGUAUCCCCUAGAUUGCUCAAUCACGACCCUUUUAUGUGAAAUCUUUAGUGUUGUGAGCCCUUAAAAGGGACAGAAAUUGUGCACCCGGGGAGCUCGGAUUUUAAGGCAGCUUGCCGAUGCUCCCAGCUGAAUAAAGCCCUUCCUUCUACAA
This 523-nucleotide long non-coding RNA is filed under the name Homo sapiens (human). RNAcentral's name for it is "ZNF888 antisense RNA 1 (ZNF888-AS1)". Lineage: Eukaryota; Metazoa; Chordata; Mammalia; Primates; Hominidae. The record is from RNAcentral.